CACGUAGUUAGCCGGGGCUUUCUCGUGAGGUACCGUCACCGCGCCGCCUUAUUCAAACAGCGCUCCUUCGUCCCUCACAACAGAGCUUUACGACCCGAAGGCCUUCUUCGCUCACGCGGCGUCGCUCCGUCAGACUUUCGUCCAUUGCGGAAGAUUCCCUACUGCUGCCUCCCGUAGGAGUCUGGGCCGUGUCUCAGUCCCAGUGUGGCCGGUCACCCUCUCAGGCCGGCUACGCAUCGUCGCCUUGGUGAGCCGUUACCUCACCAACUAGCUAAUGCGCCGCGGGCCCAUCCGCAAGUGGCAGCCGAAGCCGCCUUUCAACCAAAGACCAUGCGGUCUUUGGUGUUAUCCGGUAUUAGCUCCGGUUUCCCGGAGUUAUCCCGGUCUUGCGGGUCAGGUUGCCCACGUGUUACUCACCCGUCCGCCGCUGACCAAACAAGAGCAAGCUCUCGUUCGGUCCGCUCGACUUGCAUGUAUUAGGCACGCCGCCAGCGUCGUCUCGUGCCACGG
RNAcentral lists this ribosomal RNA (510 nucleotides) under uncultured Geobacillus sp. Its description in RNAcentral is "partial 16S ribosomal RNA". The record is from RNAcentral. Lineage: Bacteria; Bacillati; Bacillota; Bacilli; Caryophanales; Anoxybacillaceae.